This 272-nucleotide unclassified non-coding RNA is filed under the name Graphis sp. (in: ascomycete fungi). Its description in RNAcentral is "Graphis sp. (in: Fungi) partial contains 5.8S ribosomal RNA, internal transcribed spacer 2, and large subunit ribosomal RNA". The record is from RNAcentral. Lineage: Eukaryota; Fungi; Ascomycota; Lecanoromycetes; Ostropales; Graphidaceae.
CGCACAUGGCGCCCUUUGGUAUUCCGAAGGGCACGUCUGUUCGAGCGUCGCAAACACAAGAUCGAGCGUCUCUUGACGCUUGGAGUUGGGCGGUUCGUCCGUAAAGGAUGCCCCCGAAAAAGAGCGGCAGGUUGAACGUAACCCUCAGCGCGUUGACAUUAUUUCGCUGAAGGCGGUUGCGAUCGGUCUCGCCGGCAAUCUUGGUGCGCUUACCGCGUAACCUACCCUUUGAAAUCGACCUCGGAUCAGACGGGGAUACCCGCUGAACUUAA